CACUCCUGCGGGAGGCAGCAGUAGGGAAUCUUCCACAAUGGGUGCAAACCUGAUGGAGCAAUGCCGCGUGAGUGAAGAAGGUCUUCGGAUCGUAAAGCUCUGUUGUUAGAGAAGAACACGUGCUAGGUAACUACUAGCGCCUUGACGGUAUCUAACCAGAAAGUCACGGCUAACUACGUGCCAGCAGCCGCGGUAAUACGUAGGUGACAAGCGUUGUCCGGAUUUAUUGGGCGUAAAGGGAGCGCAGGCGGUCUGUUUAGUCUAAUGUGAAAGCCCACGGCUUAACCGUGGAACGGCAUUGGAAACUGACAGACUUGAAUGUAGAAGAGGAAAAUGGAAUUCCAAGUGUAGCGGUGGAAUGCGUAGAUAUUUGGAGGAACACCAGUGGCGAAGGCGAUUUUCUGGUCUAACAUUGACGCUGAGGCUCGAAAGCGUGGGGAGCGAACAGGAUUAGAAACCCCAGUAGUCCC
RNAcentral lists this ribosomal RNA (470 nucleotides) under uncultured organism. RNAcentral describes it as "partial 16S ribosomal RNA". It matches the Rfam family "Bacterial small subunit ribosomal RNA", at positions 334 to 797 of the family's 1533-position model. The record is from RNAcentral.